GAUGAAGAACGCAGCGAAAUGCGAUAAGUAAUGUGAAUUGCAGAAUUCAGUGAAUCAUCGAGUCUUUGAACGCACAUUGCGCCCCCUGGUAUUCCGGGGGGCAUGCCUGUCCGAGCGUCAUUUCUGCCCUCCAGCCCGGCUGGGUGUUGGGCGCUGUCCCCCCGGGGACACGCCCCAAAGGCAGUGGCGGCGCCGCGUCGGGUCCUCGAGCGUAUGGGGCUUUGUCACCCGCUCGGGACGGACUCGUCGGCGCUGGUCUUCCUCCAGGCGACCCUUCGGGGCUCGUCUUCCUUCGGUUGACCUCGGAUCAGGUAGGGUUACCCGCUGAACUUAAGCAUAUCAAUAAGCGGAGGA
RNAcentral lists this unclassified non-coding RNA (354 nucleotides) under soil metagenome. RNAcentral describes it as "partial contains 5.8S ribosomal RNA, internal transcribed spacer 2, and large subunit ribosomal RNA". The stretch from base 1 to 120 matches the Rfam family "5.8S ribosomal RNA", at positions 35 to 154 of the family's 154-position model. The record is from RNAcentral.